UGGUUCACCAAUCUACUAGGCUUUGAAUUUCUUGGUUAAUGUUUUGUUUUUUAAGUGCAUGCUAGCAUGAUUCCGCCUUUAAUUGUUAAUUGCAUGCUAUAUGAUGUUGCUUAAAUGAACAUGUUUUCACCAAAUAUUCCUUCAAAAUCAUGUUUCGUUUGCACCCACACAUUCGUAGAGACAAGUACUAUCUAAUAUAUGCAAGAAAAUGAGUCUUACAUGACACGACAGUGCAUUCAACAAAAGUCAAUGUAUUUGCCUAGAAAGGCAUUUUCUUAAAUUCACAUUUUAAAAUUAUAAAAACUAUAAUUUUUAGGGACGGGUCGUUACAAAUUUACUUAGCCUAACCUAAGAUCACUAGCAUAGUAAGACUCAAAUCAAAAACUUAAAUCAGACAAAUCAUCAAACACAACACAAUAAGGGAAGACCUAAUUAUGAAUGAAUUUAACAACAAGACGAGACUUGAAGCUAUCAGUGCCCCGAUAGUCUAGAAUCCCUACACUUACUUGCUGCACACGCUCCUUAGCUGAAGGGAAAUCUAUGAGAUUCAUGGAUGGGAUUUCAUAAUGACUAUCAUGCAUAUACAAAUCAAAUUUAAUAUACGAAAGCAGCGGAAGCAUUUAUAACAUAUUAACAAAGCUAUAGCCAUGCAAAUCCCCUUCAAGGUUCAUAGGUUUAUAUAUAAUGCAUCAAAUAAAAUUUUAGAGAAAAGAAC
RNAcentral lists this long non-coding RNA (715 nucleotides) under Malus domestica (apple). RNAcentral describes it as "long non-coding RNA (MDOM_LNC020243)". Lineage: Eukaryota; Viridiplantae; Streptophyta; Magnoliopsida; Rosales; Rosaceae. The record is from RNAcentral.